Long non-coding RNA from Xiphophorus hellerii (green swordtail), 3523 nucleotides. RefSeq lists it as uncharacterized. The record is from RefSeq and is a predicted model, not a curated record. NCBI's taxonomy places the organism in Eukaryota, Metazoa, Chordata, Actinopteri, Cyprinodontiformes, Poeciliidae. The transcript has 3 exons.
GUGUUGAUGAUCUUUCCAUGUUUAAAUCUUUAUCCUGCUGUAAGAACCAGGGAUGGCCCAUUUUUUCCCCCCUUAGUACAAAAUGUCCUUGUAUGUGAAAGAGUUAGUGAUGCAAAUAGUAUUCAGCUGCGCCAUCGGAGUUAACGUCAGACAUUUUCCUCUUUCGUUUCUCUAAAGCUCAGUCUUGGUCCCAUCAGUUCCAGCUAGCUAAACCUAUAAGUUUACUCUUAUGAUGGGAGGACAGGAAAAAGAAAAUCACCCCACGCCCCUCCAGCAUCACUUCCAAAUAUCUAGUUGGCCUGUAAACAUCAUUUAAUGAUUUGUGGCAUCAUGUCGGGCAAUUCAGCGUCUCUCUCUGCCUGACUUUCUAACCAAACGACCAGACAAGAGUUUAAAAUGAGGCGGAUUAGCGUUAGCAGUGUAUGCUAACAACGGAGGGUGUCAUCCAGUACACUGAGCUGUUGGCAUGACAACAAUCUUCAGUCAGGAAUCCUUCAUGCCCGCAGCAUCACCAUCCACAGCAACUGGAAUUCUUUAGUUUAAUUUAAUUUAAAGUGUUUCUCAGAGGUAACAAUAAUUUAGAUUUUAGUUGUAUUUUUUUUUUUUCCAGGACUUGGGGUUGGGGGGGGCUCAAAUUAAAAGUUGGAUUAAAAGUUAAAAGUUGGAUUCUUCAUGAUGCUUCAGUUUUUUGGACUGCAGGUGUUUUUAGAAGACAUAAAAACAAUGUGAUGUUCAUUUUUCUGCUCUUCUUUGAGCUGCAGUUGCCAGUAAAUACGUCUCGCCUUAACUAUUACACUCUGCCUGUCAAUGGUGUUAUUCUUGUUGCAUAUCAUAGGUAAAAAUCUGCUUAGACCAUUAUUUUAGGAAGGUGACAAUAUGUUGUUUUUCGUUGUGGCUUAUUGGUUUCUUGUUUAUAAUUUUUUUAAAUCUCUUUCUGGAGACGUAGAAACAGAUAUGUACCAUUUUCUGGUUUUCUCCUCGAUUCUUUCCACUUUCUUUCCCUUUCAGAUUUUUUUUGAUUUUUUUUUUACCAGACCUCUCUUAUUCUUUUUUUCUCCGUUUCAUAUUCCUUUCCAUCUCCGUAUCCAUGGCACUGAAAUAAACCCAAAGCAAUUCGUAAUGAAGUUUAUUCAUAUAUAUUUGUAGUGAAAGCUGAAAUGCUCCACUAGUGAAAGUAAAUGUGUUGAGCUUCACUUUGGCACUGAGACAUCAUUUCUGAUAGCUACCAGACAGGACAUGCAAAACAAACAAACAAAAAAACUGCUUUCGGUUCAACAACAGGUCACCAGAAAUUAAAAGCAAUGAAUGAUUAGGGUCAUAAAUCAGUUCACCGAUUAAAUUUUGUCAUUAGGGUGCCUAUAUACUGUAUCUCUCUGAUAUCAAAGAAGGUCCUAUGUUAACAUGUAACUCGGUCUGUUAAGAUGUUUUCGAUUGAAACAGCUUUUGAUUUUAGUACAUGUGAACACUUGAUGCUGCACAUUCAAAGAAAUAUACAUUACGACCGUCUGCAGUUCUUCAUAAUCCAUAAAAUGUUUAGAAAAUCUGCUGUGCAGGAUAAUUUGGAGCAGCGCAUUUUGAGUUUUUUUUUUUUUUUGAAAAAUACACCGUUCUCAUGGGGAGCUUUGUUCAGUAAAAUCUGAUCUAUACUGCAAUAGUUCACGACUUGAAAAUUAUACGGACCAUCAUUUGCAUUGAUAAUUUGGGAAAAUAUCACUUGCAUAAUAACUUGGAACGCGGUGUAUAUAUGAUGUGCACGUUUCUAUAUUAGUUGACAUAAUUGCAUGAGUGUGUUUUUCUGUAAGCAUUAAAGCCAAUCUUACAUCUGAACAUGCGCUGGCAUCACCAGGCUCCACACCGCAGACAGCCAGUCUGUGAACGUGAACGUUUCCUUUUUCCGACCAUGUCUGCAGUAUGCAAAACACAAACAGCUCACACUUUGCUGCAACCUUUGUUGCUCACCACUGUAGCUCUCCAGUAUGCAGUUUAAAAAAAAAAUCUAGGUCUUCAAAGCCUCAUCUUCCCGCGCGGGGGUUAGCAGUGAGAGAAUGGAUCUUGUGCUUAAGAGGGAAGUUUUACAAUGAGAAUCUCUCUACAGGUGAUGAACGUUGCGUAAAGUUGGUGUAUUUUUCAGUGCGUGUGAUCUGUGGUGACGUCUCUCACACAGCUCGCAGCAGAAGCUGAGGCCCGGUACCGUGUGAACAGUUACAUGUAAACAUGCGAGGGCAGGGGAGCCUAAUCACUGCUGUUCUUCUGUUUUUGAUCAUUUCACACACAAAUAGCUGUUAAGAACAUAAAAAGCUGACUAGAAGAAAAAAAAAUUCCCCACAUCGUUUUUGCGCCCCCAAUAGUGCAGCGCAACACUGCAUAGCCACUUUUUGCGCCACUGGCCUGGAUUUGGGAGCUUCUCUCCCUUCCGGUUUGGUUUUCUGCUCUAACUUUCUCUAUGACUGCUGUGUCUGUUAUCUUUUAAAGGACUGUCAACCCUGACAGACACACUUAUCACACACAUCUCAACAAUAAGUGUAAUAAUAAUGACCAAACCAAAACACGGGAAGUAGUAAGGUCAGCUAAAUUGUCGUUGCGGGACCUAAAUAGCUGACAUCUGGUCUUCCUCUGUGCACCAGAAUCUAUUUUAGAUUAGGCUUACAGAUAUUAUGUGUGUCUAAACACAACACUUUGGUUUGUCAGUAUUGUGUGUAUCAUUAACACCGCUCUGUGCGUUCGCCUUCCUUUUAUUUGAAGAAGCAGUAUUGUGUGCUUUCCAGCCACACUGUAUCAUUUUAUGGCAUAAUCAAGUAAUUAUGUCGUCUUCAAUUAUCAAAAUGCUUCGUAAUUUAACGCCUUGAAAUCGGGCCUCUGUCUCUUUAAGAAUCGCCUGCUCUUUCCGACACAGGAUGUCAUCACAUCUACAUUCCUCUGUGAAGCGUUUACAAAUAUUCGUUGGAGCAUUGGACUGAGAAGCAGCUCCUACUGAUGAGCUCAGCAGAUGCUCAGUUCGACCAGAUGUUUGCUAAUUGCUGCUGGCUAGUCUGAAGGAGCUGGGUGGGAUAUUUGUGGUGGAGGGCUGCUCUGUGAGGUGGAAGUCUGGAGGAGCUUCGUCUGCGCAGGCGGCACUCAGUCCAACCAGGCGUUUUGCACCGCUGAACGGUUGCCAUGGAGAUUAAAGGAUUUCUCAAACAUGCAUGAAAGAAUAAAAGAAACACUCCAGGUCCUCGUCAGGUAAUCAAACACCGCCUGGAUUAGCUGUGCGCCCGGUUUCUAAGCAACGCUUGCACAAAGAGAAGAGUCCAGGCGUCGGGCCUCGACCAUCUGCCUGGGCUUUACCGAGUCCCCUGACUGUUGCUUUAUAAGCUUUCUGGAAGUCGGUGCCCGUCUUCAGCUAGUGAGGCGGGUAAGCCGAGUUAGUGAUGAAAUCAUAGGGACAUAUUUUAUUAUAUCAAACCACCUGGGUAAAGUACAACGCCUUAAAGAUUUUUUUCUUCUUCACCAAGUCGAUGUGCCUUCAAGGCAGCUUCUGUCUUAG